Non-coding RNA from Picea glauca (white spruce), 47 nucleotides. Lineage: Eukaryota; Viridiplantae; Streptophyta; Pinopsida; Pinales; Pinaceae. The record is from Rfam.
GAAAUGGUGUCUUUAUACACCACCCUAUAUCUUCAAAAAAAAAAAAU